Molecule: long non-coding RNA, 431 nt
Filed under: Ananas comosus (pineapple)
Lineage: Eukaryota; Viridiplantae; Streptophyta; Magnoliopsida; Poales; Bromeliaceae
Description: long non-coding RNA (ACOM_LNC014381)
Source: RNAcentral
AUGAUUUUUAUUGCUUCGGCGAUAACGAUUUUUAUCAAUAAUUGAGAUACAAUAUUUUUUUUCGAGAAAUAGGUAGCUAGCUACCUGCUUCAUUCAUUAGGUAAAAUGAACUAAGCGUACAAUUUGGAAGCAGCCAGGGCCUCCCAAAAAAACAGGCAAGGAGCGAAAAACAAAACAAAACAAAAGAGAGAAAGGAGGGGUGUUAAUAAGGAGAGUAGGGAUAGGAGCUGAAGCCCAGUUGGCACAUCACCGAAAAGAGUUCCAGUCGUUUAGCAAAAGUUUGACACGUUCCAGAGACCGGGUAGCGUUGUGCGUGCUUCCUCGAAAGAUGACGUUGUUUCUAUCUGUCCAGAUCACCCACCAAGUCGCGGCCAAGAGGGACAGGCCUUGUGUCCUCGAAGAGUGAACCGGGAAUUGAGAUACAAUAUUAU